CAGAGUUCGCCCUAGGUCAUUUAGCAGUUAUUGUCACACAGCACUGCGGUAUCCAGAGAUGGGCAACUUUCCUCGUGCUCAGUCCAACCUAAGACAUGGGGCCCGGUGGCGAUAGGGUUACCCUAUGACGGGUCCUGCUGUUCCUGGAAUCCAAGCCGACUGCAGAGUUUUUAAAACAAGGACUCCUCAUGCUUUCAAACUGUGACACCUAGCAGAUUCAACAUGAGAUAGACCACAAUUAAGGCAAAUAUGCCAGCGCUUCAUAAAGCUUUGGGUUACUUUGUGGGCUCAAAUGACUUCAAAGUGCAUGCUCUGAUUGGAAGCAUUGAGCUGUCUUCUGUUUUGUGAGAGUGACAAUCUAUGAGCAGCUUCAACACCGCCUUAGAAGGUGGCUUCAUUUUGAUGGGCUUCUCAGACUGGCCUCAUCUGGAACAUAUCUUUUUUGUCUUCAUUUCAAUGUUCUAUUUCCUAACCAUCUUUGGAAACUUCACCAUCAUCACAAUUUCACGAAUGGAUCGUCGACUACAAACACCAAUGUACUUCUUCCUUAACAACCUCUCUUUCCUGGACCUCUGCUACAACACCAGCAUUGUACCUCAGCUUCUUGUCAAUAUUUCUGGAAUUGACAAGACCAUGAGCUAUGCUGGGUGCAUGACCCAGUUCUUCAUAGUGCUCUUACUGGGUGGAACUGAGUGUAUGCUCCUUGUGGUGAUGGCUUUCGACCGCUAUGUCGCUGUGUGUCAUCCACUACACUACACCAGCAUUAUGCACCCCCUUCUCUGCCAUGCAUUGGCCAUCUCCUCCUGGGUGGGAGGCCUUGUGAACUCUCUGACUCAGACAAGCCUCAUCAUGACCAUACCUCUCUGUGGCCAUCACCUGAACCACUUCUUCUGUGAGAUGCUUGUUCUCCUGAAGCUGGCUUGUGAGGACACAGUGGGAACAGAGGCCAACUUGUUUGUGGCUGGAGCGAUUAUUUUGGUCUGUCCUGUAGCACUAAUUCUAGGCACCUAUGCACACAUUGCUCAUGCAGUGUUGAAGAUCAAGUCAAGAUCUGGGCGCAGAAAGGCUCUGGGGACUUGUGGGUCCCACCUUACUGUGGUUUUUCUUUUUUAUGGCUCAGCCAUGUACAUGUAUCUCCAACCUGUCCACGUGUAUUCCGGGAGUGAAGGAAAGUUUGCUGCCCUCUUUUAUACUAUCAUUACUCCAAUGAUGAACCCUGAUUUAUACCCUAAGAAACAAGAAUGUGAAGGGGGCUUUGUGCAAGGUACUAGGGAGAGAUACAAGCACAACAUAGGAAGGGAACAGAACUUUAUACAAAUAUUGUCUAAUAUUUCUCGUAUGACAAAACUCAUCUUUCCUAUAGAGACCUAUUAUUCUCCAGAAGAUAUUCCUCAGUAGGCAUCAUAAUUGUACUUCUUACUUAUCUAAAAAUUAAAACUGGUGGUCUAAAACACUUCUAGAUCCUCACGAAAUAGGUAUUAAGGGUUGCUUUGUGUCAUAACUUCUCCAAGGAAUGAGUCUGGGAGAGAGGUAUAGCGAUUCUCCAUAGGAGAAUGGACAUGGACUCUAAGUAUAAUUGAGAGUGAGAGAAUGUAGGUGGUUGGUCUGGUGCUGCUUGUAUUCAAAUGUCAAAUUCUGUAUCGCAACACAUGAUUGCUCCAAGAUGAGCAGAUCUUCAUGUAUACCAGCUUUUGUUGUAAACCUUGCCCCCCAAGUUAUCCAUGAUUGGUUAAUAAAGAUGCCUACAACCUGGAGUCGGCAGAAGAGA
RNA transcript from Mus musculus (house mouse), 1768 nucleotides. It is a transcript of the gene named olfactory receptor family 2 subfamily Y member 7, with no coding region annotated. Lineage: Eukaryota; Metazoa; Chordata; Mammalia; Rodentia; Muridae. The transcript has 2 exons. The record is from RefSeq and is marked validated.